CACUUGGUCAAGAAAGCGUCCCCUUACCGACUCAACUCAUCACGUCCCCCUACCGUAGCUCACGUGACACCACGCACCUCUCGCUUAUGGCCGUCGUCGCCUUUCACAUCCAGUUUCAGUCCACCUAUUUUGCACCUGCUUCUCUGGGAAGACUUCACUGAGAAUCCAGGUGAUUUCUGGAUCCCUUCUCUCCCCUGAAGCUGUAAACUGUUUAACAAGACAUGUGCGGAACGGCCGUAAGGUGUCACUUGGUCAAGAAAGCGUCCCCUUACCGACUCAACUCAUCACGUCCCCCUACCGUAGCUCACGUGACACCACGCACCUCUCGCUUAUGGCCGUCGUCGCCUUUCACAUCCAG
Molecule: long non-coding RNA, 358 nt
Organism: Orcinus orca (killer whale)
Lineage: Eukaryota; Metazoa; Chordata; Mammalia; Artiodactyla; Delphinidae
Exons: 3
Source: RefSeq, a predicted model, not a curated record